CCUACGGGGGGCAGCAGUGAGGAAUAUUGCGCAAUGCCCGCAAGGGUGACGCAGCGACGCCGCGUGAAGGAUGAAGGCCCUAUGGGUCGUAAACUUCUUUUGCGAGGGAAGAAUAUCUUGCUACAGGCAGGAUUGACUGUACCUCGAGAAAAGCAUCGGCUAACUACGUGCCAGCAGCCGCGGUAAUACGUAGGAUGCGAGCGUUGUCCGGAAUCACUGGGUGUAAAGGGAGCGCAGGCGGGUUGGUAAGUCAGUGGUAAAAUUCUCAGGCUUAACCUGGGGACUGCCACUGAUACUGCUGAUCUUGAGUGCAGAAGAGGUGGAUGGAAUUCUUGGUGUAGCGGUAAAAUGCGUAGAUAUCAAGAAGAACACCGAGGGCGAAGGCAGUCCACGGGUCUGUUACUGACGCUCAGGCUCGAAAGCGCGGGGAGCA
Molecule: ribosomal RNA, 433 nt
Filed under: uncultured Chlorobiota bacterium
Lineage: Bacteria; Pseudomonadati; Chlorobiota
Description: uncultured Chlorobi bacterium partial 16S ribosomal RNA
Rfam family: Bacterial small subunit ribosomal RNA
Source: RNAcentral